This 31-nucleotide non-coding RNA is filed under the name Rattus norvegicus (Norway rat). The record is from RNAcentral. Lineage: Eukaryota; Metazoa; Chordata; Mammalia; Rodentia; Muridae.
UGAAAUGUACAGCAAAUGGUGGAAAUCUAGA